This 29-nucleotide non-coding RNA is filed under the name Homo sapiens (human). The record is from RNAcentral. Lineage: Eukaryota; Metazoa; Chordata; Mammalia; Primates; Hominidae.
UGUUCACAGCUGCAACCGCCUACUCAACC